RNAcentral lists this ribosomal RNA (716 nucleotides) under Janibacter sp. enrichment culture clone NCP4-3. Its description in RNAcentral is "bacterial SSU rRNA". It matches the Rfam family "Bacterial small subunit ribosomal RNA", at positions 152 to 880 of the family's 1533-position model. Lineage: Bacteria; Bacillati; Actinomycetota; Actinomycetes; Micrococcales; Intrasporangiaceae. The record is from RNAcentral.
GGAAACGGCGUCUAAUACUGGAUAUGAGAUCAGUCCGCAUGGGCAUGGUCUGGAAAGUUUUUCGGUCUGGGAUGGGCUCGCGGCCUAUCAGCUUGUUGGUGAGGUAAUGGCUCACCAAGGCGACGACGGGUAGCCGGCCUGAGAGGGCGACCGGCCACACUGGGACUGAGACACGGCCCAGACUCCUACGGGAGGCAGCAGUGGGGAAUAUUGCACAAUGGGCGAAAGCCUGAUGCAGCGACGCCGCGUGAGGGAUGACGGCCUUCGGGUUGUAAACCUCUUUCAGCAGGGAAGAAGCGAAAGUGACGGUACCUGCAGAAGAAGCACCGGCUAACUACGUGCCAGCAGCCGCGGUAAUACGUAGGGUGCGAGCGUUGUCCGGAAUUAUUGGGCGUAAAGGGCUUGUAGGCGGUUUGUCGCGUCUGCUGUGAAAAUCCGAGGCUCAACCUCGGACUUGCAGUGGGUACGGGCAGACUAGAGUGUGGUAGGGGAGACUGGAAUUCCUGGUGUAGCGGUGAAAUGCGCAGAUAUCAGGAGGAACACCGAUGGCGAAGGCAGGUCUCUGGGCCACUACUGACGCUGAGAAGCGAAAGCAUGGGGAGCGAACAGGAUUAGAUACCCUGGUAGUCCAUGCCGUAAACGUUGGGCGCUAGGUGUGGGACUCAUUCCACGAGUUCCGUGCCGCAGCUAACGCAUUAAGCGCCCCGCCUGGGGAG